RNAcentral lists this ribosomal RNA (693 nucleotides) under uncultured organism. RNAcentral's name for it is "SSU rRNA". It matches the Rfam family "Bacterial small subunit ribosomal RNA", at positions 764 to 1470 of the family's 1533-position model. The record is from RNAcentral.
GGUAUCAAACAGGAAUUAGAUACCCUGGUAGUUCACACGGUAAACGAUGAAUACUCGCUGUUUGCGAUAUACAGCAAGCGGCCAAGCGAAAGCGUUAAGUAUUCCACCUGGGGAGUACGCCGGCAACGGUGAAACUCAAAGGAAUUGACGGGGGCCCGCACAAGCGGAGGAACAUGUGGUUUAAUUCGAUGAUACGCGAGGGACCUUACCCGGGCUUAAAUUGCAGAUGAAUUACGGUGAAAGCCGUAAGCCGCAAGGCAUCUGUGAAGGUGCUGCAUGGUUGUCGUCAGCUCGUGCCGUGAGGUGUCGGCUUAAGUGCCAUAACGAGCGCAACCCUUGUUGUCAGUUACUAACAGGUUCCGCUGAGGACUCUGACAAGACUGCCAUCGUAAGAUGUGAGGAAGGUGGGGAUGACGUCAAAUCAGCACGGCCCUUACGUCCGGGGCUACACACGUGUUACAAUGGGGGGUACAGAGGGCCGCUACCACGCGAGUGGAUGCCAAUCCCAAAAACCUCUCUCAGUUCGGACUGGAGUCUGCAACCCGACUCCACGAAGCUGGAUUCGCUAGUAAUCGCGCAUCAGCCACGGCGCGGUGAAUACGUUCCCGGGCCUUGUACACACCGCCCGUCAAGCCAUGGGAGCCGGGGGUACCUGAAGUGCGUAACCGCGAGGAGCGCCCUAGGGUAAAACUG